AGUGAACGCUGGCGGUAGGCCUAACACAUGCAAGUCGAACGGCAGCACAGUAAGAGCUUGCUCUUACGGGUGGCGAGUGGCGGACGGGUGAGGAAUACAUCGGAAUCUACUUUUUCGUGGGGGAUAACGUAGGGAAACUUACGCUAAUACCGCAUACGACCUACGGGUGAAAGCAGGGGAUCUUCGGACCUUGCGCGAUUGAAUGAGCCGAUGUCGGAUUAGCUAGUUGGCGGGGUGAAGGCCCACCAAGGCGACGAUCCGUAGCUGGUCUGAGAGGAUGAUCAGCCACACUGGAACUGAGACACGGUCCAGACUCCUACGGGAGGCAGCAGUGGGGAAUAUUGGACAAUGGGCGCAAGCCUGAUCCAGACAUACCGCGUGGGUGAAGAAGGCCUUCGGGUUGUAAAGCCCUUUUGUUGGGAAAGAAAAGCAGCAGGUUAAUACCCCGCUGUUCUGACGGUACCCAAAGAAUAAGCACCAGCUAACUUCGUG
Molecule: ribosomal RNA, 492 nt
Filed under: uncultured bacterium
Lineage: Bacteria
Description: partial 16S ribosomal RNA
Rfam family: Bacterial small subunit ribosomal RNA
Source: RNAcentral